RNAcentral lists this ribosomal RNA (460 nucleotides) under uncultured bacterium. RNAcentral's name for it is "partial 16S ribosomal RNA". It matches the Rfam family "Bacterial small subunit ribosomal RNA", at positions 28 to 507 of the family's 1533-position model. The record is from RNAcentral.
GACGAACGCUGGCGGCGUGCUUAACACAUGCAAGUCGAGCGGUAAGGCCUCUUCGGGGGUACACGAGCGGCGAACGGGUGAGUAACACGUGGGUGACCUGCCCUCAGCUCUGGGAUAAGCCUGGGAAACUGGGUCUAAUACCGGAUAUGACCUUUCCUCGCAUGGGGUUUGGUGGAAAGUUUUUUCGGCUGGGGAUGGGCCCGCGGCCUAUCAGCUUGUUGGUGGGGUGAUGGCCUACCAAGGCGACGACGGGUAGCCGGCCUGAGAGGGCGACCGGCCACACUGGGACUGAGACACGGCCCAGACUCCUACGGGAGGCAGCAGUGGGGAAUAAUGCGCAAUGGGCGGAAGCCUGACGCAGCGACGCCGCGUGGGGGAUGACGGCCUUCGGGUUGUAAACCUCUUUCGACCCCGACGAAUUUGGACGGUAGGGGUAGAAGAAGCACCGGCCAACUACGUG